Molecule: ribosomal RNA, 524 nt
Filed under: uncultured bacterium
Lineage: Bacteria
Description: partial 16S ribosomal RNA
Rfam family: Bacterial small subunit ribosomal RNA
Source: RNAcentral
GACGAACGCUGGCGGCAUGCCUAAUACAUGCAAGUCGAGCGCAGGAAGCUGACGGAACUCUUCGGAGAGAAGGCAGUGGAAUGAGCGGCGGACGGGUGAGUAACACGUAAGGAACCUGCCUCAAGGAUUGGGAUAACUCCGAGAAAUCGGAGCUAAUACCGGAUAGUUCAACGGACCGCAUGGUCCGCUGAUGAAAGGCGCUUCGGCGUCACCUUGAGAUGGCCUUGCGGUGCAUUAGCUAGUUGGUGGGGUAACGGCCCACCAAGGCGACGAUGCAUAGCCGACCUGAGAGGGUGAUCGGCCACACUGGGACUGAGACACGGCCCAGACUCCUACGGGAGGCAGCAGUAGGGAAUCUUCCACAAUGGACGAAAGUCUGAUGGAGCAACGCCGCGUGAGUGGUGAAGGUUUUCGGAUCGUAAAGCUCUGUUGUAAGGGAAGAACACGUACGAGAGGGAAUGCUCGUACCUUGACGGUACCUUACGAGAAAGCCACGGCUAACUACGUGCCAGCCGCCGCCGUAA